CCUUCACACUGUGCGAGAGCACGAUGAGGGGAUCCCAAGUGCUAGCUCGUAAGAGUUAGCUGUUUCUUUGUCUAAAAAAACAGAGAGAGUAAGGGCUGGGUAAGACGGGUGCCAGCCGCCGCGGUAAUACCUGCAGCUCAAGUGGUGGCCGCUAUUAUUGGGCCUAAAACGUUCGUAGCCGGUUUAGUAAAUGCUUGGGUAAAUUGUGUCGCUUAACGAUACGAAUACCGGGUAGACUGCUAAACUUGGGACCGGGAGAGGCUAGAGGUACUCCUGGGGUAGAGGUGAAAUUCUGUAAUCCUGGGGGGACCACCAGUGGCGAAGGCGUCUAGCCAGAACGGGUCUGACGGUGAGGAACGAAGCCCUGGGGCGCAAACCGGAUUAGAUACCCGGGUAGUCCAGGGUGUAAACGCUGCUCGCUUGAUGUUAGUUGGGCUCCGAGCCCAACUAGUGUCGGAGAGAAGUUGUUAAGCGAGCUGCCUGGGAAUGCGGUCGCAAGACUGAAACUUAAAGGAAUU
Molecule: ribosomal RNA, 518 nt
Filed under: uncultured Thermoplasmata archaeon
Lineage: Archaea; Methanobacteriati; Thermoplasmatota; Thermoplasmata
Description: bacterial SSU rRNA
Rfam family: Archaeal small subunit ribosomal RNA
Source: RNAcentral